RNAcentral lists this ribosomal RNA (515 nucleotides) under Bacillus thuringiensis. RNAcentral's name for it is "bacterial SSU rRNA". It matches the Rfam family "Bacterial small subunit ribosomal RNA", at positions 1 to 500 of the family's 1533-position model. Lineage: Bacteria; Bacillati; Bacillota; Bacilli; Caryophanales; Bacillaceae. The record is from RNAcentral.
UUGUGAGUUUGAAACCUGGCUCAGGAUGAACGCUGGCGGCGUGCCUAAUACAUGCAAGUCGAGCGAAUGGAUUGAGAGCUUGCUCUCAAGAAGUUAGCGGCGGACGGGUGAGUAACACGUGGGUAACCUGCCCAUAAGACUGGGAUAACUCCGGGAAACCGGGGCUAAUACCGGAUAACAUUUUGAACUGCAUGGUUCGAAAUUGAAAGGCGGCUUCGGCUGUCACUUAUGGAUGGACCCGCGUCGCAUUAGCUAGUUGGUGAGGUAACGGCUCACCAAGGCAACGAUGCGUAGCCGACCUGAGAGGGUGAUCGGCCACACUGGGACUGAGACACGGCCCAGACUCCUACGGGAGGCAGCAGUAGGGAAUCUUCCGCAAUGGACGAAAGUCUGACGGAGCAACGCCGCGUGAGUGAUGAAGGCUUUCGGGUCGUAAAACUCUGUUGUUAGGGAAGAACAAGUGCUAGUUGAAUAAGCUGGCACCUUGACGGUACCUAACCAGAAGUAUCGAUUUG